GAAAUACUUUAAUUCUGUUAUGCAUGUAUUAAUGCCAUAGUAUUAUAUCAUAAUCUGUAUAGUAAGAAAAUUAAGAACAAAAUUGAUUUUCAAAUUUUAACACACAUAUAAUUCUGUACUAGUUAAUAUUAAGUAGUUUUAAAGCAUAGGUUUUUUGAGUUUCAAAUAUAAUAAAAUCAUAAGUUUAAUAAAUAUAAACAAUAUUUAGCAUUUAUAUAGUAACUGUACAUAAUUACAUUUUUAUAGUGUGAAUUAAAGCAAAUGUUUUAUACAAAAAUAACAGCCAGUAGUAUUUAUUUUAGUACUCUUUGGCAAAAUUAAAACCAGCAUUCUUCAUUUAUCAUAACACUUCAUAAAAAUAUCUGUAACUAUAAAAGUUACCAGAUGGCCAAAUGAAAAAGUAGUCUUUUAUCACUUUGCAGAUUCUAGAUUCCAUAUGUCCAGUUUUUUAAUGAAGAGUAUUAAAUACCCAUCUUCAAUCUUCCAUCUUGGGUAGGCCAGCCUAUAAUGGAAUCUAAAAGUGGGUCACUGUUAGACAUAUCUUGUGUAUAAUUCAAUGCUUAACUAAAACUUAAUUUAACCUAAUCAUAAUGUUGGCCAGAUUGACUGAAUGGAGAUCUAGAAUUGAAUCUGGGACUAUUCUGGAGGACUCAGGUUCAAUUCCAUGUCACGUUCUUUGGAAAGUUUAUUCUUACAAUCCAGACCUGGUCUGUCAAUCUGUCUUCCACCAUUUAGCUGACCUCCACUGGAAUAGGCAACCUAUGAUAGGAUCUGUUUCAUCCCACCAUUUGGUACUUUACAGAAUGUAAAGUGGCAUUUUCUAUUAAAAAAAUAUACCUAAUUGUAAUUGUCAAUUUUUAAGGCCAAAAAAAAAUUUUUCUUAUUAUUAUUUUUGAUAUAGGAAAAAAAAUUAUG
Molecule: long non-coding RNA, 915 nt
Filed under: Androctonus crassicauda
Lineage: Eukaryota; Metazoa; Arthropoda; Arachnida; Scorpiones; Buthidae
Source: RNAcentral